AGAACGAACGCUGGCGGCAGGCCUAACACAUGCAAGUCAAACGGGUGUAGCAAUACACUAGUGGCGCACGGGAGAGUAACGCGUGGGAACCUACCUUUUGGUUCGGAAUAACAUCGGGAAACUGGUGCUAAUACCGGAUAAGCCUUUCGAGGGAAAGAUUUAUCGCCGAAAGAUGGGCCCGCGUAGGAUUAGCUAGUUGGUGAGGUAAUGGCUCACCAAGGCUUCGAUCCUUAGCUGGUCUGAGAGGAUGAUCAGCCUCACUGGGACUGAGACACGGCCCAGACUCCUACGGGAGGCAGCAGUGGGGAAUAUUGGACAAUGGGCGAAAGCCUGAUCCAGCCAUGCCGCGUGAAUGAUGAAGGCCUUCGGGUUGUAAAGUUUCUUUGACGGGGACGAUGAUGACGGUACCCGUAGAAUAAGCACCGGCUAACUUCGUGCCAGCAGCCGC
Molecule: ribosomal RNA, 448 nt
Filed under: uncultured bacterium
Lineage: Bacteria
Description: SSU rRNA
Rfam family: Bacterial small subunit ribosomal RNA
Source: RNAcentral